GGCGCGAUGGCAGAGUGGUUAAUGCGCAAGACUUGAAAUCUUGUUCCCUUGGGAGCGUAGGGUGAGUUGUCAGAUCCUGCGUGAACGAACGUGUUUAUUCCUAACAUCCUUUCAAGUUCGAACCCUACUCGCGUCG
This is a transfer RNA of Stagonospora sp., 136 nucleotides long. It matches the Rfam family "tRNA". From Rfam's summary of the family: Transfer RNA (tRNA) molecules are approximately 80 nucleotides in length. Their secondary structure includes four short double-helical elements and three loops (D, anti-codon, and T loops). Further hydrogen bonds mediate the characteristic L-shaped molecular structure. tRNAs have two regions of fundamental functional importance: the anti-codon, which is responsible for specific mRNA codon recognition, and the 3' end, to which the tRNAs corresponding amino acid is attached (by aminoacyl-tRNA synthetases). tRNAs cope with the degeneracy of the genetic code in two manners: having more than one tRNA (with a specific anti-codon) for a particular amino acid; and 'wobble' base-pairing, i.e. permitting non-standard base-pairing at the 3rd anti-codon position. NCBI's taxonomy places the organism in Eukaryota, Fungi, Ascomycota, Dothideomycetes, Pleosporales, Massarinaceae. The record is from Rfam.